GAGUUUGAUCGUGGCUCAGAUUGAACGCUGGCGGCAGGCCUAACACAUGCAAGUCGAGCGGAUGAAGGGAGCUUGCUCCUGGAUUCAGCGGCGGACGGGUGAGUAAUGCCUAGGAAUCUGCCUGGUAGUGGGGGUAACGUCCGGAAACGGGCGCUAAUACCGCAUACGUCCUGAGGGAGAAAGUGGGGGAUCUUCGGACCUCACGCUAUCAGAUGAGCCUAGGUCGGAUUAGCUAGUUGGUGGGGUAAAGGCCUACCAAGGCGGCGAUCCGUAACUGGUCUGAGAGGAUGAUCAGUCACACUGGAACUGAGACACGGUCCAGACUCCUACGGGAGGCAGCAGUGGGGAAUAUUGGACAAUGGGCGAAAGCCUGAUCCAGCCAUGCCGCGUGUGUGAAGAAGGUCUUCGGAUUGUAAAGCACUUUAAGUUGGGAGGAAGGGCAGUAAGUUAAUACCUUGCUGUUUUGACGUUACCAACAGAAUAAGCACCGGCUAACUUCGUGCCAGCAG
RNAcentral lists this ribosomal RNA (509 nucleotides) under uncultured microorganism. RNAcentral describes it as "bacterial SSU rRNA". It matches the Rfam family "Bacterial small subunit ribosomal RNA", at positions 9 to 514 of the family's 1533-position model. The record is from RNAcentral.